Molecule: non-coding RNA, 51 nt
Organism: Callithrix jacchus (white-tufted-ear marmoset)
Lineage: Eukaryota; Metazoa; Chordata; Mammalia; Primates; Cebidae
Source: Rfam
GAAAAGGCUUUAUUUAAAAUAAAGCCAUCUAUUUUAAAAUAACAUAAUUAU